Long non-coding RNA from Zingiber officinale, 1528 nucleotides. RefSeq lists it as uncharacterized. The transcript is spliced from 6 exons. The record is from RefSeq and is a predicted model, not a curated record. Lineage: Eukaryota; Viridiplantae; Streptophyta; Magnoliopsida; Zingiberales; Zingiberaceae.
AUUUUUUUCCCUAACCUGCAAUUGCCGAUUUCAACUCGCAAAAGCUCUUCUCUUCUUUGAUGUUUUUUUUUCUCUAAUGUUUUUCCUCCAUCAUUGGCUUUUUACCCCCGAACCCUAGCUUUAACUCUAACUCCCAGAAGUUUUUUUUCCCCUUUCUUUGAUGUUUUGUUGUUUCUAUUUAGAUUUCAGCAUCCUUCUUUUUGUGUUCAAAACCCUAAAUUGUGUUUUUUUUUUCAUCAUUGUUGUGCUUUUUGAUUCUUCUUCUUGGCUCCUUUUCUUGAGUUCGUUUGACAAUAGCAAAGUCUAAUUGGCAUAUGGAAGCAGUAGAUGGUGUGCUUAAGAAUUAUAUCUUUUUUUAAAAAAAAAAUCUGGAACGUUAAAUAACUCAAGAAGAAUUUUCUGUUGGCUUGCAUUGUUUCUGUUUGAGUUAGAAUUCCUUUUAGAUUCUUAGGAUGAGCGUAGGAAUUGGACAACUGUGAAAUGCACAACCUCUGCCUCAAUUAAGUAGAACACUAUUGACGUAUCUUGAACAGUUCUGAAACAAAAUUAUCUGCUGACACCAAUGACUGAAAAAUAACUAAAAACAGGACAAACCAAGAAAAAAAAGAAACUGAAUCUUUUGUGAAACAUGAAGUAUAUUCAUAUUUUAUUUACUUCCAAAUUUCUAAUAGAUUAUGUUGUUUCAUUCAAAUGAGCGGAAUUACUUAUCGUUAAGCUCUUGUGUUUCUUAUGACAGAUCUUGUGAAAGCUGGUGAUCGUUCAUUUGAAAUAGAAGCUGCAAACACAGGAGGAACCACUUGGAUUUGAAAACUCAUUGCAUCUCUUCCUAGAGUCUUGCUGAAAGAAAAAUGGUAAUCAAGGACUUAAGCAGUUGCUACUGCUCAAGCAACGAAAGCUGCAAAAAGUGGUGAGCAUAGCAGAGGUGCUCAGUGAUGCAACAUCCAGAGUGGAAAUGGAGGUGAAAAGUGAAGAUGCUGACAUUGGCAAAGAAUGACGAGUAGGGAUGACAAUAGGGCAAGGUUGUCUUUUCAGUUCUCAUUUGAGAGUUACCAAACAGAGAAUGAAGAUGUGUGUAAAUCAGUCCCUUUUUUUGAAAAGAGGUCGUUGUUCGACUUUGGCCUGUCAACUCCUUCACAGCGAUGAGCGCACACAAGGAUUCUUUACCGAAUUAAAAUUCUGAAGCAGGCAGAGGGAAGAGCUGCAUUUUGGUUCCAUAAACGAUUGCCGAAGCAAGGAUCUAGGAAAAGUGACCAUAGGAAGCACAACAGUGAACUGUUAGCUGGAAAUUGCUUGUCACGCCAUUGAGAUUUUGAAGGCAAAUUCCGAUUCUUCAUGAUUGCAUUUAUUUUAUUGUUAGUAACAAGAACCUCUUUGAACCUCUUUUUCUCAUGUUAAAGCUGUUGUAAGAUAAAGCUCAUUGCAUUGAACCUCAUAUAACAUUCAUUUAUUUCCUUUUGGUACAUAAAAUGUUAUGUGAGUUUAAUUUGUAUGUACAAUACAACUUGUUUCAACGAAGAUUGCAUGAUAA